AAACCAGCACCUCAAGUGGUCAGGAUGAUUAUUGGGCCUAAAGCAUCCGUAGCCUGCUUUGUAAGUUUUCGGUUAAAUCCAUAUGCUCAACAUAUGGGCUGCCGGGAAUACUGCACAGCUAGGGAGUGGGAGAGGUAGACGGUACUCGGUAGGAAGGGGUAAAAUCCUUUGAUCUAUUGAUGACCACCUGUGGCGAAGGCGGUCUACCAGAACACGUCCGACGGUGAGGGAUGAAAGCUGGGGGAGCAAACCGGAUUAGAAACCCCGGUAGUCC
Molecule: ribosomal RNA, 274 nt
Filed under: uncultured bacterium
Lineage: Bacteria
Description: partial 16S ribosomal RNA
Rfam family: Archaeal small subunit ribosomal RNA
Source: RNAcentral